This 482-nucleotide ribosomal RNA is filed under the name uncultured Mogibacterium sp. Its description in RNAcentral is "bacterial SSU rRNA". It matches the Rfam family "Bacterial small subunit ribosomal RNA", at positions 28 to 508 of the family's 1533-position model. The record is from RNAcentral. Lineage: Bacteria; Bacillati; Bacillota; Clostridia; Peptostreptococcales; Anaerovoracaceae.
GAUGAACGCUGGCGGCGUGCCUAAUACAUGCAAGUCGAGCGAGAUGUUAGCGCAUGAACCUUCGGGGGAUUAUGCCAACGGACAGCGGCGGACGGGUGAGUAACGCGUAGGCAACCUGCCCCUGACAGAGGGAUAGCCAUUGGAAACGAUGAUUAAAACCUCAUGACACCGUAGAAGCCCAUGCUUCAUCGGUCAAAGAUUUAUCGGUCAGGGAUGGGCCUGCGUCUGAUUAACUAGUUGGUGAGGUAACGGCUCACCCAGGUGACGAUCAGUAGCCGACCUGAGAGGGUGAUCGGCCACAUUGGAACUGAGACACGGUCCAAACUUCUACGGAAGGCAGCAGUAGGGAAUCUUGCACAAUGGGCGAAAGCCUGAUGCAGCAACGCCGCGUGAAGGAUGAAGGCCUUUGGGUUGUAAACUUCUGUUCUAAGGGAAGAAACAAAUGACGGUACCUUAGGAGCAAGCCCCGGCUAACUACGUGC